UAAGCGGAGGAAAAGAAACUAACAAGGAUUCCCCCUAGUAACUGCGAGNNNNNNNGGAAAAGCUCAAAUUUAAAAUCUGGUGGUCUUUGGCCAUCCGAGUUGUAAUUUAGAGAAGUGUCUUCCGCGCUGGACCGUGCACAAGUCUCCUGGAAUGGAGCGUCAUAGAGGGUGAGAAUCCCGUCUUUGGCAUGGACACACCAGGGCUUUUGUGAUGCGCUCUCGAAGAGUCGAGUUGUUUGGGAAUGCAGCUCAAAAUGGGUGGUGAACUCCAUCUAAAGCUAAAUAUUGGCGAGAGACCGAUAGCGAACAAGUACCGUGAGGGAAAGAUGAAAAGCACUUUGGAAAGAGAGUGAAACAGUACGUGAAAUUGUUGAAAGGGAAACGCUUGAAGUCAGUCACGUCGACCGAGACUCAGCCUUGCCUCGGCUUGGUGUACUUCUCGGCUGACGGGUCAGCAUCAAUUUUGCCCCUUGGAUAAUGGCGAGGGAAAUGUGACACCUUUAUGGUGUGUUAUAGUCUCUCGUCGCAUGCAAGGGUUGGGAUUGAGGAACUCAGCACGCGCCUUUUGGUGUCGGGGCUUUGCCCACGAUACGUGCUUAGGAUGUUGGCAUAAUGGCUUUAAACGACC
RNAcentral lists this ribosomal RNA (628 nucleotides) under uncultured Russulaceae. Its description in RNAcentral is "LSU rRNA". It matches the Rfam family "Eukaryotic large subunit ribosomal RNA", at positions 47 to 649 of the family's 3401-position model. Lineage: Eukaryota; Fungi; Basidiomycota; Agaricomycetes; Russulales; Russulaceae. The record is from RNAcentral.